AGGAGUUUGAUCAUGGCUCAGAUUGAACGCUGGCGGCAUGCUUUACACAUGCAAGUCGAGCGGCAGCGCGGGGGCAACCCUGGCGGCGAGCGGCGGACGGGUGAGUAAUGCAUCGGAACGUAUCCCGUAGUGGGGGACAACCCAGCGAAAGCUGGGCUAAUACCGCAUAUGCUCUACGGAGGAAAGUGGGGGACCCGCAAGGGCCUCACGCUAUGGGAGCGGCCGAUGUCCGAUUAGCUAGUUGGUGGGGUAAAGGCCCACCAAGGCGACGAUCGGUAGCUGGUCUGAGAGGAUGAUCAGCCACACUGGGACUGAGACACGGCCCAGACUCCUACGGGAGGCAGCAGUGGGGAAUUUUGGACAAUGGGGGCAACCCUGAUCCAGCCAUGCCGCGUGCGGGAAGAAGGCCUUCGGGUUGUAAACCGCUUUUGGUCGGGAAGAAAAGGCGUCUCCUAAUACGGGGCGUUCUUGACGGUACCGGCAGAAUAAGCACCGGCUAACUACGUG
Molecule: ribosomal RNA, 507 nt
Filed under: uncultured bacterium
Lineage: Bacteria
Description: bacterial SSU rRNA
Rfam family: Bacterial small subunit ribosomal RNA
Source: RNAcentral